Molecule: transfer RNA, 77 nt
Filed under: Campylobacteraceae bacterium 4484_166
Lineage: Bacteria; Pseudomonadati; Campylobacterota; Epsilonproteobacteria; Campylobacterales; Campylobacteraceae
Also listed under: 1 other name
Description: tRNA-Arg
Rfam family: tRNA
About the family: Transfer RNA (tRNA) molecules are approximately 80 nucleotides in length. Their secondary structure includes four short double-helical elements and three loops (D, anti-codon, and T loops).
Source: RNAcentral
GCUUCCUUAGCUCAGCUGGAUAGAGCAAUGCCCUCCUAAGGCAUAGGCCACAUGUUCGAAUCAUGUAGGGAGUACCA